UACGUAGGGUGCAAGCGUUGUCCGGAAUUAUUGGGCGUAAAGAGCUCGGUAGGCGGUCUGUCGCGUCGGCUGUGAAAACUCGGGGCUCAACCCCGAGCCUGCAGUCGAUACGGGCAGACUAGAGUGCUGUAGGGGAGACUGGAAUUCCUGGUGUAGCGGUGAAAUGCGCAGAUAAUCAGGAGGAACACCGGUGGCGAAGGCGGGUCUCUGGGCAGUGAACUGACGCUGGAGGAGCGAAAGCGUGGG
RNAcentral lists this ribosomal RNA (246 nucleotides) under uncultured bacterium. RNAcentral's name for it is "partial 16S ribosomal RNA". It matches the Rfam family "Bacterial small subunit ribosomal RNA", at positions 524 to 765 of the family's 1533-position model. The record is from RNAcentral.